This 291-nucleotide ribosomal RNA is filed under the name Enterobacter hormaechei. RNAcentral's name for it is "partial 16S ribosomal RNA". It matches the Rfam family "Bacterial small subunit ribosomal RNA", at positions 1 to 288 of the family's 1533-position model. The record is from RNAcentral. Lineage: Bacteria; Pseudomonadati; Pseudomonadota; Gammaproteobacteria; Enterobacterales; Enterobacteriaceae.
AAAUUGAAGAGUUUGAUCAUGGCUCAGAUUGAACGCUGGCGGCAGGCCUAACACAUGCAAGUCGAACGGUAACAGGAAGCAGCUUGCUGCUUCGCUGACGAGUGGCGGACGGGUGAGUAAUGUCUGGGAAACUGCCUGAUGGAGGGGGAUAACUACUGGAAACGGUAGCUAAUACCGCAUAACGUCGCAAGACCAAAGAGGGGGACCUUCGGGCCUCUUGCCAUCGGAUGUGCCCAGAUGGGAUUAGCUAGUAGGUGGGGUAACGGCUCACCUAGGCGACGAUCCCAUCCC